Molecule: small RNA, 78 nt
Filed under: Chishuiella changwenlii
Lineage: Bacteria; Pseudomonadati; Bacteroidota; Flavobacteriia; Flavobacteriales; Weeksellaceae
Description: Flavo-1 RNA
Source: RNAcentral
UUGCGACAAGGAUCGCAACGGUAUCCUUUUGUGGAGCGAUCUAGCGAGCAAAAGAUAAAGUGUAGAGCCUGGCUGUCG